This 2352-nucleotide long non-coding RNA is filed under the name Homo sapiens (human). RNAcentral describes it as "non-protein coding lnc-BRINP2-3:1". The record is from RNAcentral. Lineage: Eukaryota; Metazoa; Chordata; Mammalia; Primates; Hominidae.
UUAUGACCUGGGAGCUGGGCCCAUUUUAUGACCAAGGAGAUGGGGAGUUGGAAUGGUGGUACUAAGAGGCAUAGGAAGUUGAGUGUGAAUACCAUUGGUGAUGGGUCCAGGAGAACUAGACUAUGGUUCUUGAAUAUCUGUCCACAAAGAAUAUACUAACUUUUGUCAACUUCUCAGAACUCCCAACUGGAGUCGGUGAGACCUAGGAUUUUCUGCACUUCCACACAUGCCUGUUCCAAGUGUGGCUGUCAGCCAGUCAACAAGUUUGUACUAUGGCCCAUUCUCUGAUCACCAGGAUUACAGGAACUCACACACUCCUCAUACUUGGCCUGUAGUCCUACUUCUUGUUAGAAGUCUCCAAGUCUGGCCAGUCACAUGACCAAGUGUUGAUUUUUCUGGAGGAAAAAUUUUAUGGAAAUGAUAUAGGGGAAAGGUGGGAGGAGAUGAAAGAACAGGCAAGAGCUGUCAGGGUUAAAUCCAGGCCCGGGCAUGAGAAUGGAAGUGAUCAGGGAGACUCGGUCCUUGUUCCAAGUCUCCAAAGAAGACCAAAGUGGGUCCCUUGAGCAAUGAAGAAUCUGAGAUAAAUUCUCUUCAAGUAUCAUGUACAAAAUCUGUGAGCCAGAGAUUUUGACUUGAGCAAGCCAUGGAAAUGCAUGGAGCAAGGGUGACACUCUGUGGGGAGACAGAAGAAUUUCAACUAUUUAAUGUCCAUUUUGUUGUUUUUACCCUUUCUUAUCCAAUAGAUGGAAUGCACAUGAAAUGACCAUAUUAAGCCUCUCUCUAUUUACAUCCCAGGCUCACUGGGAUGUGAUCUACUGCAGUUACAUUUUCUUGUAACGGUUUCUGGAUUAGACCCUAGGGAAAGUGAGUAAGGAGCCAGUUUCUGUUUAACAUUCUAGUUUUACUCAUUUUAGGAAGGCUGUGAGUGAGGCUUGUCUCCUUUAAAGUUUCUUCUCCAAUGGAAACCAAGAACAGACAAAAUUUAGAGCUCAGCUGUGGUCUCUUCUCAUCUUCUGCUCUUUUGCUUUGACCACAGUUUUUCUACUCUUCCCAUCAACACUAGAGCAAUGGCUGUGCAAAUAGGAAUAGGAAAUACUACCACAAUGAUAGAAAUAUUAUCCACACUAUCACGUAGGGAAGAACAAUAUCCUGAAAGAGAAUAAAACACGAAUAAGGUGAUGUACCCACAUUAAUCUGUGGGUUUGUGGAAUGAGGGUUGCAAAGUUAUUGGGAAAAGGAAAGAGCAGAGUUCACCCAUUCAAAAAAAACCUUUUGUCUACUAAUCUCUAGUGUAAAGAAAAUGUAGUUCAGAUACCAUUCAUUGUCUUGGGUCAUGCUUAGUGCCCCCAAGAAGACAAACAUAUUUAUUCUUGGGAUUCUGAUAGGCUUCAAUAUGCAAAGGACAAUGGAAAAGUUUAGACACUCUAUUUUCAAAAUUUUAUAAACUUGUUUUAUUGGGGAAAAUGUCCAAAUUGCUAGACACAUUCUAAGUUCUGCCUUGGAGAAUCCUACUUUGUCUGAGAUUGAGGCAGAGGAAUUGUUAUCCUGGGCAUUACUCAGCUCAGGAACAUGGAGCCUGUGGUUCAUGCCAGUGUGUGUCUUCAUGCAGUCUCUCCACAAGAGCAACAGUAAGAACAUUUCUGUUUUAAAUUUCAUUUUAAAAUAUUUUAUUAUCUGCAAUUCACCACUGCUCUGGGAAAGCAAAAGGAAAGUUCCUGUUGUGUGUGAAGAGCCUCUUAGGCUAUAAGGCUUCCCAGCCAUAGUCAGCUAUAGCUAUUCAGAGACAGCAGGUUCUUCCAGUCUUUGUUCCUGGGACCUGAUGUUUUGAGCAACUCAGGUCACUGAUAAAGUGGAAGGACUAAGACACUGUGGUCACAGAUCCCAGCAACAUCAACUCACACUCAAUCCAUGUGGUGGUCCACAUUCUGCUACUCUUAUCCACCCAUGUGGUCAUUGAGAGCCUUUCUCAGAGACUCUUCUGUGUGUUUGAUUGUGCCCAGGUGGCCCAGGGCUAGCUGGCUCUAACAACUAGCAUGACAGCCUCCAAUCAGAAAGGCAGGUAAGGGGACAGGGUGAGGAGAAUGGGCAGAUACUGACAGAAAUUAAAGUAAAGGGAUUGUGAAAGUAAAGAGCUCUUCCUGAUUCUCAUCUUCUCUUUUUUCUAUUACAAGGCAUUGAACUUGGCACUUCCUGUAUUCUUUGUGAUCACUAUUGAGUGCAUUAGUUAACACCCAAGGGGAUGGCUUGAUUGGGAAUGUAGUGAAAGGAGCUGAUCUACUGUAUUGUAAUGUAAAACAGCUACAGCCAGUUAUUUUGUAAGAUUAUAAGUUGUUCAUUAAAAAAUCAGCACAC